ACUUAACACCUCCUUCCUUGCCCGGAGGCCAGAGCUCAAGCCCAUCCCCUGUGCCUACACAGCAGGUAGCUCUGUGGCCUCUACUUCCUCUUCACAGCCAUCCCUAACUUGUUUGCUGCGCCCCAGACCAUUCAGUCUUGUCUUCACCCUUUAGAAUUUCUCUGGUUCCUGACAUACACAAGGGAUUGGUCAGAGGAAUGCACCAGAAGAAAUCCUACCACACAGAAGUUUUCUGCACCAUGCAAGGGUUCUCAAAGUGUUGUCCUUGAACCAGCAGCAGCAGCUGCAUCACCUAGGGACAGAUCUCUCUGGUUCCAGUUUCUCUUCUGUUUUCAAAGUGAUAUGCUGAAGAGGAAGGCACAUUAUCGGGAAGGUAGAUAAAUGGUGAGAUGGAAAGAGAGAUGGUGAAGUCCAGCCUUGCACUUUGAUUCUGCUGACUACCCUCUGCAUGGCUUUUGGCAAAAAUGUUAACAAAUGAGCAUCAUCAAUUUUCUCAGCUGUAAAUUGGGGGUCUCCCCUACCUCUCACUGGAUUGUCUUGAGACUCAAAGAGUAUAAUGAAGGGGGGUUCUUAGUUACUGGCCUCCAGAUCACUCUUGUUUCAGUAUAAAACUGAAAACAAAAAACACACGUUUUACAAAGUGAAG
This 646-nucleotide long non-coding RNA is filed under the name Equus asinus (donkey). RNAcentral describes it as "lncRNA (ENSEASG00005033914.1)". Lineage: Eukaryota; Metazoa; Chordata; Mammalia; Perissodactyla; Equidae. The record is from RNAcentral.